Molecule: ribosomal RNA, 371 nt
Filed under: uncultured organism
Description: partial 16S ribosomal RNA
Rfam family: Bacterial small subunit ribosomal RNA
Source: RNAcentral
GGAGGGUGCAAGCGUUAAUCGGAAUUACUGGGCGUAAAGCGCGCGCAGGCGGCUGGGUCAGUCGGAUGUGAAAGCCCCGGGCUUAACCUGGGAAUUGCAUUCGAUACUGCCCGGCUAGAGUAUGGGAGAGGGAAGUGGAAUUUCCGGUGUAGCGGUGAAAUGCGUAGAUAUCGGAAGGAACACCAGUGGCGAAGGCGGCUUCCUGGCCCAAUACUGACGCUCAGGUGCGAAAGCGUGGGGAGCGAACAGGGAUUAGAUACCCUGGUAGUCCACGCUGUAAACGAUGAGAACUAGAUGUUGGGAGGGUUAGCCUCUCAGUGUCGCAGCUAACGCGUUAAGUUCUCCGCCUGGGGAGUACGACCGCAAGGUUG